Molecule: small nucleolar RNA, 103 nt
Organism: Otolemur garnettii (small-eared galago)
Lineage: Eukaryota; Metazoa; Chordata; Mammalia; Primates; Galagidae
Source: Ensembl
AUGCUUGCGUAGUUUCGUAAACAUGGAAAUUGGGUGCUCACUUGCAUGUGUGAGGCGGGCUCCCCCAACUUUGGUGUGACGUGAGCACAUGACCAGUCAGACG